Canis lupus familiaris (dog) is the source of this 601-nucleotide long non-coding RNA. RefSeq lists it as uncharacterized. Lineage: Eukaryota; Metazoa; Chordata; Mammalia; Carnivora; Canidae. The transcript has 3 exons. The record is from RefSeq and is a predicted model, not a curated record.
UCCUCGCCGGGGGGUCCCCCUCGCGCCCACCUCGUCCGCGCGGCCUCCUCCACGCCUUCGGGUCUUUCGGGUCCUCCCGCCCUUCGCGCCCCCCGGGCCUGCGGGGUCUGGAUUCGUCUCCGCCGACCCCUCCCACGUCCGGCUCUCCGUGCUGCCGCCUUUCGGAGGUGCACGGUCGAAAGCCUUCCCGGUCCCACCUCCACCUGUCAAGUCCAUCAGGCGCGCGCGGAGCGCCCCAGGUGCACAGCAGGCACAGUUGGGACAGGAAAGCGCAAGGCGUUUGCUGCUUGCCAUCCAGAUUCUGGUGGUCUGCUGGUAACCUGUGUUUCUUGAGCAAGAGACAGGCAGAGAGAGAAGCAGGCUCCAUGCAGGGAGCCCGACGUGGGACUCCAUCCCGGGUCUCCAGGAUCACGCCCUGGGCUGCAGUCGGCGCCAAAGCGCUGCACCACCGGGGCUGCCCAGCAUCCAAGUUUAAAAGCAUGAUGUUAACAGCAUCCCAGAAGCUGGGAUACCCCAGAAGGUAUGAACAUUCAUACCCUCUAUCCAGUCUCUACUCAUACUCUCCCCACUCCAUAAAGGUAACAACUCUGCUGACUUUUAA